GGGGCCGACCGGAAUUGACAGGAUGGAGAUGAAUAUGUAAGCAUGCAGCGCGUUGUGAGACGAGCGCUAUAAUCUGAACUCUCAAACCACAGUUGGCGAAAAUAACUACGCCUUAGCUGCUUAAUUUAGAAUUAAGUAAGCUUUUGUCCCGCUAGGUUCCGUUCUGUUACUUAGCAUCAGGGGCAUCGAACAACAGAACUGGCCAGGGUUUAAUGGUGUGAAAGCCCGGCGAGAAGAAACACCUACGGAAGACGGUACAGGUGAACUUCUGACCUUCCCCUUCCCGACAAUGAAACAGCAGUUAAGCAUGUAGAAAGCAUAAUUUAUACCAUGUUUGGACGAGGGUUCGAAUCCCUCCGGCUCCACAA
RNAcentral lists this transfer-messenger RNA (368 nucleotides) under Sphingobacteriaceae. RNAcentral describes it as "Daejeonella soli Standard tmRNA". It matches the Rfam family "transfer-messenger RNA". From Rfam's summary of the family: Bacterial tmRNA, also known as 10Sa RNA or SsrA, is named for its dual tRNA and mRNA-like properties. Its role is to liberate the mRNA from a stalled ribosome. The record is from RNAcentral. RNAcentral also lists the same sequence under 1 other name. Lineage: Bacteria; Pseudomonadati; Bacteroidota; Sphingobacteriia; Sphingobacteriales.